RNAcentral lists this transfer RNA (87 nucleotides) under Erythrocladia irregularis. RNAcentral's name for it is "tRNA-Ser". It matches the Rfam family "tRNA". From Rfam's summary of the family: Transfer RNA (tRNA) molecules are approximately 80 nucleotides in length. Their secondary structure includes four short double-helical elements and three loops (D, anti-codon, and T loops). Further hydrogen bonds mediate the characteristic L-shaped molecular structure. tRNAs have two regions of fundamental functional importance: the anti-codon, which is responsible for specific mRNA codon recognition, and the 3' end, to which the tRNAs corresponding amino acid is attached (by aminoacyl-tRNA synthetases). tRNAs cope with the degeneracy of the genetic code in two manners: having more than one tRNA (with a specific anti-codon) for a particular amino acid; and 'wobble' base-pairing, i.e. permitting non-standard base-pairing at the 3rd anti-codon position. The record is from RNAcentral. Lineage: Eukaryota; Rhodophyta; Compsopogonophyceae; Erythropeltidales; Erythrotrichiaceae.
GGAGAGGUGGCUGAGUGGUCGAAAGCGGCAUACUGCUAAUUUGCUGUACGAUUUAUCGUACCGAGGGUUCGAAUCCCUCUCUCUCCU